Molecule: ribosomal RNA, 602 nt
Filed under: Kurbatovia chome
Lineage: Eukaryota; Metazoa; Arthropoda; Insecta; Coleoptera; Lycidae
Description: partial 16S ribosomal RNA
Rfam family: Bacterial large subunit ribosomal RNA (bases 375-533)
Source: RNAcentral
CAUGUCUUUUUGAAAAUGAUUUAAGGUCUAAUCUGCUCAAUGAUGUUUUAAAUUGCCGCAGUAAUUUAACUGUGCAAAGGUAGCAUAAUAAUUAGUUAUUUAAUUGAUAGCUUGAAUGAAUGAUUGGACGAGAAAAUCACUAUUUUAUUUAAAAAAUUUGAAUUUUAUUAUUAAAUUAAAAAGUUUAAAUGUAUAUAAAAGACGAGAAGACCCUAUAGAUUUUUAUAUUUAAUAUAAUUUUUUUUAUAGAAUAUUUUUUAAUAUUAAAUAUUUAUUUGGGGUGAUUAAUUGAUUUGAAUAAUUCAUUUAAUUGUUGAGAUUAAUAAAUAAUUUUUUUAUCUUAAAUUUUAAAAUUUAAAUUAAAUUACCUUAGGGAUAACAGCGUUAUUAUUUCUUAGAGUUCUGAUUGAAGAAAUAGAUUGCGACCUCGAUGUUGGAUUAAAAUUUAAAUUAGGUGAAGAAGCUUAGUAUUUAGAUCUGUUCGAUCUUUAAAAUUUUACAUGAUCUGAGUUUAGACCGGUGUGAACCAGGUUAGAUUCUAUCUUUAUAAUUUUGUAAUAUUUUAGUACGAAAGGACCAUAUAUUGUUUGUUACUUUGACAG